RNAcentral lists this ribosomal RNA (433 nucleotides) under uncultured bacterium. Its description in RNAcentral is "partial 16S ribosomal RNA". It matches the Rfam family "Bacterial small subunit ribosomal RNA", at positions 30 to 507 of the family's 1533-position model. The record is from RNAcentral.
AUCGAACGCUGGCGGCAGGCUUAACACAUGCAAGUCGAGCGGGCACUUCGGUGUCAGCGGCAGACGGGUGAGUAACACGUGGGAACGUACCCUUUGGUUCGGAAUAACGCUGGGAAACUAGCGCUAAUACCGGAUACGCCCUUUUGGGGAAAGGCUUGCUGCCGAAGGAUCGGCCCGCGUCUGAUUAGCUAGUUGGUGGGGUAAUGGCCUACCAAGGCGACGAUCAGUAGCUGGUCUGAGAGGAUGAUCAGCCACACUGGGACUGAGACACGGCCCAGACUCCUACGGGAGGCAGCAGUGGGGAAUAUUGGACAAUGGGCGCAAGCCUGAUCCAGCCAUGCCGCGUGAGUGAUGAAGGCCUUAGGGUUGUAAAGCUCUUUUGUCCGGGACGAUAAUGACGGUACCGGAAGAAUAAGCCCCGGCUAACUUCGUG